GCCUCGUUAGCUCAGUUGGUUGAGCGUUAGAAUUUUAAUCUAACGGUCAGGUGUUCGAGUCCCCUACGAGGCU
This 73-nucleotide transfer RNA is filed under the name Angiostrongylus costaricensis. It matches the Rfam family "tRNA". From Rfam's summary of the family: Transfer RNA (tRNA) molecules are approximately 80 nucleotides in length. Their secondary structure includes four short double-helical elements and three loops (D, anti-codon, and T loops). The record is from Rfam by way of RNAcentral. Lineage: Eukaryota; Metazoa; Nematoda; Chromadorea; Rhabditida; Metastrongylidae.